This 484-nucleotide ribosomal RNA is filed under the name uncultured bacterium. RNAcentral describes it as "partial 16S ribosomal RNA". It matches the Rfam family "Bacterial small subunit ribosomal RNA", at positions 30 to 507 of the family's 1533-position model. The record is from RNAcentral.
AUUGAACGCUGGCGGCAGGCCUAACACAUGCAAGUCGAGCGGAUGAAGGGAGCUUGCUCCUGGAUUCAGCGGCGGACGGGUGAGUAAUGCCUAUGAAUCUGCCUGGUAGUGGUGGAUAACGUCCGUAAACGGGCGCUAAUACCGCAUACGUCCUGAGGGUGAAAGUUGGGGAUCUUCGGACCUCACGCUAUCAUAUGAGCCUAGGUCGGAUUAGCUAGUUGGUGGGGUAAAGGCCUACCAAGGCGACGAUCCGUAACUGGUCUGAGAGGAUGAUCAGUAACACGGGAACUGAGAAACGGUCAAGAGUACUACGGGAGGCAGCAGUGGGGAAUAUUGGACAAUGGGCGAAAGAAUGAUACAGCAAAGCCGCGUGUGUGAAGAAGGUCUUCGGAUUGUAAAGCACUUUAAGUUGGGAGGAAGGGAAGUAAGUUAAUACCUUGCUGUAUUGACGUUAACAAAAGAAUAAGCACCGGCUAACUACGUG